UGCCAGCAGCCGCGGUAACACGAACCGGGCAAACGUUAUCCGGAUUUAUUGGGUUUAAAGGGUGCGCAGGCGGAACUUUAAGUCAGUGGUGAAAUCUUGCCGCUUAACGGUAAAAUUGCCAUUGAUACUGAAGUUCUUGAAUGUAGUUGAGGUAGGCGGAAUGUGUUGUGUAGCGGUGAAAUGCAUAGAUAUGACACAGAACGCCAAUUGCGAAGGCAGCUUACUAAGCUACGAUUGACGCUGAGACACGAAAGCGUGGGGAGCGUACAGGAUUAGAUA
This 279-nucleotide ribosomal RNA is filed under the name uncultured bacterium. RNAcentral describes it as "partial 16S ribosomal RNA". It matches the Rfam family "Bacterial small subunit ribosomal RNA", at positions 506 to 784 of the family's 1533-position model. The record is from RNAcentral.